AUACGUCUGUUGAUUGGGAAAAACUUAUUGCUGAUAACUUGAGGGGAAAAAGCGGCACUGGAAGUGAUGAUGGGUAGUAAAGAUGGGUUUUUGACUAAGAGGUUGAAGAGCUAUGCAAAUGAUAAGAACAAUCCAUUAAAACCUAAGGGCCUCUCUGGCCUCUCCCCAUAUUUAAUCCGUUUGAAUCUGUUUAGAGGACCGUAGUUAGCUCCUGUUUCAAAUUGUAUCGUUACGUCAAUCCGUUUGUUUGUUCAUUUUGUGUGAUUCCUUGAGUAUGAUAUGUUUUGCAUAAUUUUUUAAGGCAGCUGAGGUGUUCCUUGAGGAGUUGAUUGUUA
This is a long non-coding RNA of Cucurbita moschata (crookneck pumpkin), 335 nucleotides long. RefSeq lists it as uncharacterized. Lineage: Eukaryota; Viridiplantae; Streptophyta; Magnoliopsida; Cucurbitales; Cucurbitaceae. The record is from RefSeq and is a predicted model, not a curated record. The transcript is spliced from 2 exons.